UCUUAGUUGUCUUAGAGGCUCCCUGUACAGUAGGAGUCUAUGCAGCUCCCAUGUUUUCUGAUAUUUAGGAAGCUAUGUUAAUUCCUGGAGGCCAUCUGGGAACUUAAUUUGAGGACCCUAAGAAAUUACUGUAGUUAAAUUUUAUAGAAGUCAUUCCACCAAGAAAAGAACCUUGUUUUUAGAGACAAUAGACCUGUGGGCUGGGAAACAGGUGCCUAGCAUUCCCUAGGAGAGAUGGAGAAGUUACCUCACCCCCACAGCAGUCACAAAGCACAGGGGUCGGGCUAUUUAGUAAUCACUGGACCUUUAUGUGACAAAGAAGUCACUCUGGUACUGUCUUUCUCUAACUUUGAUUCCAUUUGACCUAUUUAUAGCCUGCAUAUUCUAGCCUUGGGGGCCUUUUUUUCACUGAUAUCAUGUAGACACUAUUUGACAGAACAGGUUUCUUUACAGAACAGAGGGUUUUGACGUUCUGCUGCCUCUAAUAAGCUCUCCUUUCUGCUUGGCUGAGAUCACUCAGAAGAGGAAAGAAGAAACCGUUGCCUUUUGCUGUCCAGUUAUUGGAAGCCAGGCCAUGCGUGACUGCUUCACCUGCGUUAUUCAACUCCUGCUUCACAGCAACCAGCACUCUUUCCAUCUUACCUGCUUUGGGUGUCUAUUUCCUACCACUGGACUUUAAGAUCCACUGGACUCUCUCUGCUGAGGACCCAUAACAAACUCCAGGACCAGUUCCUUUUUUCUCUUGCACCCUGUGGAGUAUGUUUAUUGACUACAGAUGCUAAGCACUUUGCUAAGGAACAGAAAGCUGCAAGAUAGAAUAUGUACUUCACCUGAGUGGGUGCAUAGAAACCGGCCGUGUGUCUGAAUCUUUAAGAACUCAAGUGGAACGUAUGCUUACAAGUUUAAAGGUCAGAAUCACAACAUACAGACUUGAAUUGGAAUGACUGCAAGAUAGUUUCAGGAUUAUAAGACUUCUAUGUAAAAGAAGUUAAUAAAAGGCAUAUUAAGACCAGUCUUAACUCUCCCUUCCCAGCACACCCUAUGGACUAUCUGACUUAUUACACGGGCCAUACCCAGAAUGUUCUAUAUCGGACUGGCGGGAGCAGCAACAUAUUGGAAGGAGCUGAGGACUUCUCUAGAAGCUGCAUUCGCAUAGCUCGCUGCUCUUUCUACUUAGAUGUAUUUAUUGGGGAAGGAGGAUGCCCCUAAAGAACUUGUCGCCAUGCCACCUCUGGUUCCAGUACUGUGCAGUGCUCCUUGGCCCUCCAGUCCAAAACUAUCACUGUGAAGUUUGUUUCAAUGAGAAAAGGGCAAGAGUUGAAAACUUUUAUCUACACAGAAUCUGCACACAAAUAUUUAUAGCAGGUUUAUGCAUAAUUGCAAAAACUCAGAAGCAAACAAGAUGUCCUUCAAUGGAUGAAUGGAAAUCAAGCUAUCAAGCCAGGAAAAGAGAUGGAGGAAACUUAUAUGCAUAUCAUUAAGUGAAAGAAGCCAGUCAGAAAAGCCUACAUGCUAUAUGAUUCCAACUAUAUGACACUCUGGAAAAGGUGACAACUCAUCUCAACAAAGAAUGCCAAGAGUGGGAUGGGCUUGGAGAGAAGAUUCGUGUUAGAGAUAAUGAGCUUGGAGUGCAGUUCCCUUGCAGCACAUGAAAGAGCAGGACCCCAUGCUUGGAGAUCUGCAAGGAAUCUAUCUAAGGAAGUUGAUUAAGAAAUGAUCUUGUGGGACUUCCCUGGCGCCGCAGUGGAUAAGACUCUGCGCUCCCAAUGCAGGGGGCCCGGAUUCGAUCCCUGGUCUGGUAACUAGAGCCCACAUGCAUGCCGCAGCUAAGAGUUUGCAUGCCAAAACUAAGGAGCCGGUGAGCCGCAACUAAGGAGCCCACCUGCCGCAACUAAGGAGCCUGCCUGCCGCAACUAAGACCCAA
Physeter macrocephalus (sperm whale) is the source of this 1924-nucleotide long non-coding RNA. RefSeq lists it as uncharacterized. The record is from RefSeq and is a predicted model, not a curated record. NCBI's taxonomy places the organism in Eukaryota, Metazoa, Chordata, Mammalia, Artiodactyla, Physeteridae. The transcript is spliced from 8 exons.